RNAcentral lists this ribosomal RNA (515 nucleotides) under uncultured bacterium. Its description in RNAcentral is "partial 16S ribosomal RNA". It matches the Rfam family "Bacterial small subunit ribosomal RNA", at positions 28 to 523 of the family's 1533-position model. The record is from RNAcentral.
GAUGAACGCUGGCGGCGUGCCUAAUACAUGCAAGUCGAGCGAAUGGAUUGAGAGCUUGCUCUUAUGAAGUUAGCGGCGGACGGGUGAGUAACACGUGGGUAACCUGCCCAUAAGACUGGGAUAACUCCGGGAAACCGGGGCUAAUACCGGAUAACAUUUUGAACCGCAUGGUUCGAAAUUGAAAGGCGGCUUCGGCUGUCACUUAUGGAUGGACCCGCGUCGCAUUAGCUAGUUGGUGAGGUAACGGCUCACCAGGGCAACGAUGCGUAGCCGACCUGAGAGGGUGGUCGGCCAGACGGGGACUGAGACACGGCCCAGACUCCAACGGGAGGCAGCAGUAGGGAAUCUUCCGCAAUGGACGAAAGUCUGACGGAGCAACGGCGCGUGAGUGAUGAAGGCUUUCGGGUCGUAAAACUCUGUUGUUAGGGAAGAACAAGUGCUAGUUGAAUAAGCUGGCACCUUGACGGUACCUAACCAGAAAGCCACGGCUAACUACGUGCCAGCCGCCGCCGUAA